Molecule: small nucleolar RNA, 85 nt
Organism: Mastacembelus armatus (zig-zag eel)
Lineage: Eukaryota; Metazoa; Chordata; Actinopteri; Synbranchiformes; Mastacembelidae
Product: small nucleolar RNA SNORD60
Source: Ensembl
AGCCACUGAUGACAUACCUAACUUUUCUGACACCUCGUAUGAGAGCUGCGCUGUGGCUCCUGAUUCUAACUCUGAUCUGAGGCUC